GUCGAACGGUAACAGGAAGCAGCUUGCUGCUUCGCUGACGAGUGGCGGACGGGUGAGUAAUGUCUGGGAAACUGCCUGAUGGAGGGGGAUAACUACUGGAAACGGUAGCUAAUACCGCAUAACGUCGCAAGACCAAAGAGGGGGACCUUCGGGCCUCUUGCCAUCGGAUGUGCCCAGAUGGGAUUAGCUAGUAGGUGGGGUAACGGCUCACCUAGGCGACGAUCCCUAGCUGGUCUGAGAGGAUGACCAGCCACACUGGAACUGAGACACGGUCCAGACUCCUACGGGAGGCAGCAGUGGGGAAUAUUGCACAAUGGGCGCAAGCCUGAUGCAGCCAUGCCGCGUGUAUGAAGAAGGCCUUCGGGUUGUAAAGUACUUUCAGCGGGGAGGAAGGCGACAGGGUUAAUAACCCUGUCGAUUGACGUUACCCGCAGAAGAAGCACCGGCUAACUCCGUGCCAGCAGCCGCGGUAAUACGGAGGGUGCAAGCGUUAAUCGGAAUUACUGGGCGUAAAGCGCACGCAGGCGGUCUGUCAAGUCGGAUGUGAAAUCCCCGGGCUCAACCUGGGAACUGCAUUCGAAACUGGCAGGCUAGAGUCUUGUAGAGGGGGGUAGAAUUCCAGGUGUAGCGGUGAAAUGCGUAGAGAUCUGGAGGAAUACCGGUGGCGAAGGCGGCCCCCUGGACAAAGACUGACGCUCAGGUGCGAAAGCGUGGGGA
This 717-nucleotide ribosomal RNA is filed under the name uncultured Enterobacterales bacterium. RNAcentral's name for it is "bacterial SSU rRNA". It matches the Rfam family "Bacterial small subunit ribosomal RNA", at positions 61 to 767 of the family's 1533-position model. The record is from RNAcentral. Lineage: Bacteria; Pseudomonadati; Pseudomonadota; Gammaproteobacteria; Enterobacterales.